UGGCGCACGGGUGAGUAAUGUAUAGUUAAUCUGCCCUAUGCUGGAGGACAACAGUUAGAAAUGACUGCUAAUACUCCAUACUCCUUCUUAACACAAGUUAAGUUGGGAAAGUUUUUUCGGCAUAGGAUGAGACUAUAUUGUAUCAGCUAGUUGGUGAGGUAAUGGCUCACCAAGGCUAUGACGCAUAACUGGUCUGAGAGGAUGAUCAGUCACACUGGAACUGAGACACGGUCCAGACUCCUACGGGAGGCAGCAGUAGGGAAUAUUGCUCAAUGGGGGAAAGCCUGAAGCAGCAACGCCGCGUGGAGGAUGACACUUUUCGGAGCGUAAACUCCUUUUCUUAGGGAAGAAAUUUGACGGUACCUAAGGAAUAAGCACCGGCUAACUCCGUGCCAGCAGCCGCGGUAAUACGGAGGGUGCAAGCGUUACUCGGAAUCACUGGGCGUAAAGGACGCGUAGGCGGAUUAUCAAGUCUUUUGUGAAAUCUAAUGGCUCAACCAUUAAACUGCUUGAGAAACUGAUAAUCUAGAGUGAGGGAGAGGCAGAUGGAAUUGGUGGUGUAGGGGUAAAAUCCGUAGAGAUCACCAGGAAUACCCAUUGCGAAGGCGAUCUGCUAGAACUCAACUGACGCUAAUGCGUGAAAGCGUGGGGAGCAAACAGGAUUAGAUACCCUGGUAGUCCACGCCCUAAACGAUGUAUACUAGUUGUUGCUGUGCUAGUCAUGGCAGUAAUGCACCUAACGGAUUAAGUAUACCGCCUGGGGAGUACGGUCGCAAGAUUAAAACUCAAAGGAAUAGACGGGGACCCGCACAAGCGGUGGAGCAUGUGGUUUAAUUCGAAGAUACGCGAAGAACCUUACCUGGGCUUGAUAUCCUAAGAACCUUGUAGAGAUACGAGGGUGCUAGCUUGCUAGAACUUAGUGACAGGUGCUGCACGGCUGUCGUCAGCUCGUGUCGUGAGAUGUUCGGUUAAGUCCGGCAACGAGCGCAACCCACGUAUUUAGUUGCUAACAGUUUGGCUGAGCACUCUAAAUAUACUGCCUUCGUAAGGAGGAGGAAGGUGUGGACGACGUCAAGUCAU
RNAcentral lists this ribosomal RNA (1080 nucleotides) under Campylobacter lanienae. Its description in RNAcentral is "bacterial SSU rRNA". It matches the Rfam family "Bacterial small subunit ribosomal RNA", at positions 96 to 1193 of the family's 1533-position model. Lineage: Bacteria; Pseudomonadati; Campylobacterota; Epsilonproteobacteria; Campylobacterales; Campylobacteraceae. The record is from RNAcentral.